This 85-nucleotide transfer RNA is filed under the name Felis catus (domestic cat). It matches the Rfam family "tRNA". Rfam says of the family: Transfer RNA (tRNA) molecules are approximately 80 nucleotides in length. Their secondary structure includes four short double-helical elements and three loops (D, anti-codon, and T loops). Further hydrogen bonds mediate the characteristic L-shaped molecular structure. tRNAs have two regions of fundamental functional importance: the anti-codon, which is responsible for specific mRNA codon recognition, and the 3' end, to which the tRNAs corresponding amino acid is attached (by aminoacyl-tRNA synthetases). tRNAs cope with the degeneracy of the genetic code in two manners: having more than one tRNA (with a specific anti-codon) for a particular amino acid; and 'wobble' base-pairing, i.e. permitting non-standard base-pairing at the 3rd anti-codon position. The record is from Rfam by way of RNAcentral. Lineage: Eukaryota; Metazoa; Chordata; Mammalia; Carnivora; Felidae.
GCCUGGGUGGCUCAGUCGGUUGAGCGUCUGACUUCGGCUCAGGUCAUGAUCUCACAGUUUGUGAGUUCAAGCCCUGCAUCAGGCU